RNAcentral lists this ribosomal RNA (253 nucleotides) under uncultured bacterium. Its description in RNAcentral is "partial 16S ribosomal RNA". It matches the Rfam family "Bacterial small subunit ribosomal RNA", at positions 524 to 776 of the family's 1533-position model. The record is from RNAcentral.
CACGUAGGGCGCAAGCGUUGUCCGGAAUUAUUGGGCGUAAAGAGCUCGUAGGCGGUCUGUUGCGUCCGCUGUGAAAACUCGGGGCUUAACCCCGAGCCUGCAGUGGAUACGGGCAGACUAGAGGUAGGUAGGGGAGAAUGGAAUUCCCGGUGUAGCGGUGAAAUGCGCAGAUAUCAGGAGGAACACCGGUGGCGAAGGCGGUUCUCUGGGCAUGUCCUGACGCUGAGGAGCGAAAGCGUGGGGAGCGAACAGG